Molecule: long non-coding RNA, 219 nt
Filed under: Brassica rapa (field mustard)
Lineage: Eukaryota; Viridiplantae; Streptophyta; Magnoliopsida; Brassicales; Brassicaceae
Description: long non-coding RNA (BRAP_LNC001316)
Source: RNAcentral
AAUUCAUGUUUUCAAAGAUGUAGACACGUAUAAACGAAAUAUAAACAUCAUAACAAUAAUAAAAACUUAAAAAGAAAUUAAUAGCGUGUUAUGGACAUAAGCAAUCAACAUAGCAAUAUGACCAAGUGAAUGAUCAAAUUUUUGUCACACAAUAAAAAUGAGAGGUGCACCAAUACAAACAACAGAUCAAGCAUCCCAAAACACAGUAAAUUGUUAAAC